This 102-nucleotide small RNA is filed under the name Arabidopsis thaliana (thale cress). Its description in RNAcentral is "ATSL213640". The record is from RNAcentral. Lineage: Eukaryota; Viridiplantae; Streptophyta; Magnoliopsida; Brassicales; Brassicaceae.
AGAGUUUGAUUCAUUUUCUUUAUUUUGAUUUCUGAAAAUGCAAAUGCAAAAACGGAUAAUCUAGCACGGAAAUAUUUUAUACAACCACAUUUUAUCAUCUAU